RNAcentral lists this ribosomal RNA (201 nucleotides) under uncultured bacterium. Its description in RNAcentral is "partial 16S ribosomal RNA". It matches the Rfam family "Bacterial small subunit ribosomal RNA", at positions 1300 to 1500 of the family's 1533-position model. The record is from RNAcentral.
GUAGUCUGCAACCCGACUACAUGAAGCCGGAAUCGCUAGUAAUCGCGGAUCAGAAUGCCGCGGUGAAUACGUUCCCGGGUCUUGUACACACCGCCCGUCACACCAUGGGAGUUGGAAAUGCCCGAAGUCAGUGGCCCAACCGGAAGGGGGGAGCUGCCGAAGGCAGGUUCGAUGACUGGGGUGAAGUCGUAACAAGGUACC